This 253-nucleotide ribosomal RNA is filed under the name uncultured bacterium. RNAcentral describes it as "partial 16S ribosomal RNA". It matches the Rfam family "Bacterial small subunit ribosomal RNA", at positions 524 to 776 of the family's 1533-position model. The record is from RNAcentral.
GACGUAGGGCGCGAGCGUUGUCCGGAUUUAUUGGGCGUAAAGAGCUCGUAGGCGGCUUGUUGCGUCGACCGUGAAAACCCGUGGCUCAACUGCGGGCUUGCGGUCGAUACGGGCAGGCUAGAGUUCGGUAGGGGAGACUGGAAUUCCUGGUGUAGCGGUGAAAUGCGCAGAUAUCAGGAGGAACACCGGUGGCGAGGGCGGGUCUCUGGGCCGAUACUGACGCUGAGGAGCGAAAGCGUGGGGAGCGAACAGG